RNAcentral lists this ribosomal RNA (508 nucleotides) under uncultured Glomeromycotina. RNAcentral's name for it is "SSU rRNA". It matches the Rfam family "Eukaryotic small subunit ribosomal RNA", at positions 569 to 1078 of the family's 1831-position model. Lineage: Eukaryota; Fungi; Glomeromycota. The record is from RNAcentral.
AGCAGCCGCGGUAAUUCCAGCUCCAAUAGCGUAUAUUAAAGUUGUUGCAGUUAAAAAGCUCGUAGUUGAAUUUCGGGGUUAGUAGGUUGGUCAUGCCUCUGGUAUGUACUGAUCUCACUGAUUCCUCCCUCUUGACGAACUGUAAUGUCAUUAAUUUGGUGUUGCAGGAAAUCAGGACUGUUACUUUGAAAAAAUUAGAGUGUUUAAAGCAGGCUUAGGCUUGAAUACAUUAGCAUGGAAUAAUGAAAUAGGACGUUUGAACCUAUUUUGUUGGUUUCUAGGAUCAACGUAAUGAUUAAUAGGGAUAGUUGGGGGCAUUAGUAUUCAAUUGUCAGAGGUGAAAUUCUUGGAUUUAUUGAAGACUAACUACUGCGAAAGCAUUUGCCAAGGAUGUUUUCAUUAAUCAAGAACGAAAGUUAGGGGAUCGAAGACGAUCAGAUACCGUCGUAGUCUUAACCAUAAACUAUGCCGACUAGGGAUCGGAUGAUGUUAAUUUUUUGAUGACUCA